Molecule: ribosomal RNA, 254 nt
Filed under: uncultured bacterium
Lineage: Bacteria
Description: partial 16S ribosomal RNA
Rfam family: Bacterial small subunit ribosomal RNA
Source: RNAcentral
UACGUAGGGUGCAAGCGUUAAUCGGAAUUACUGGGCGUAAAGCGUGCGCAGGCGGCUAUGCAAGACAGAUGUGAAAUCCCCGGGCUCAACCUGGGAACUGCAUUUGUGACUGCAUGGCUAGAGUACGGUAGAGGGGGGAUGGAAUUCCGCGUGUAGCAGUGAAAUGCGUAGAUAUGCGGAGGAAUACCGAUGGCGAAGGCAGCCUCCUGGGCCAACACUGACGCUCAUGCACGAAAGCGUGGGGAGCAAACAGG